AGAGUUUGAUCCUGGCUCAGAUUGAACGCUGGCGGAAUGCUUUACACAUGCAAGUCGAACGAUGAAGUCUAGCUUGCUAGACGGAUUAGUGGCGAACGGGUGAGUAAUAUAUCGGAACGUAUCCAUUAAUGGGGGAUAACUAGUCGAAAGAUUGGCUAAUACCGCAUACGUCCUACGGGAGAAAGCUAGGGACCUUCGGGCCUGGUGUUAAUGGAGCGGCCGAUAUCUGAUUAGCUAGUUGGUGAGGUAAAGGCUCACCAAGGCGACGAUCAGUAGCUGGUCUGAGAGGACGACCAGCCACACUGGAACUGAGACACGGUCCAGACUCCUACGGGAGGCAGCAGUGGGGAAUUUUGGACAAUGGGCGCAAGCCUGAUCCAGCCAUUCCGCGUGAGUGAAGAAGGCCUUCGGGUUGUAAAGCUCUUUCGCAAGGGAAGAAAACUUACCCUCUAACAUAGGGUGAGGAUGACGGUACCUUGAUAAGAAGCACCGGCUAACUACGUGCCAGCAGCCGCGGUAAUACGUAGGGUGCGAGCGUUAAUCGGAAUUACUGGGCGUAAAGCGUGCGCAGGCUGUUUUGUAAGUCAGAUGUGAAAUCCCUGGGCUCAACCUAGGAACUGCGUUUGAAACUACAAGACUAGAAUAUGUCAGAGGGGGGUAGAAUUCCACGUGUAGCAGUGAAAUGCGUAGAGAUGUGGAGGAAUACCAAUGGCGAAGGCAGCCCCCUGGGAUAAUAUUGACGCUCAUGCACGAAAGCGUGGGGAGCAAACAGGAUUAGAUACCCUGGUAGUCCACGCCCUAAACGAUGUCUACUAGUUGUUGGUGGAGUAAAAUCUAUGAGUAACGCAGCUAACGCGUG
Molecule: ribosomal RNA, 859 nt
Filed under: uncultured bacterium
Lineage: Bacteria
Description: bacterial SSU rRNA
Rfam family: Bacterial small subunit ribosomal RNA
Source: RNAcentral